UUCAAUGUAGACCAUUGAUCUCAAUCUCCAGAUUUAAUCUCCACGCUUGGAUGUUAUGACUUUAUUUAAUUCUUUGUGUUUCUCAUUGACCUUGGAAUAUGGUGCGCGCGCAGCUUAUGACCAUCAGAUCCUCCACGUCAAUUAAUGAGGAUCCAUCCAACGCUUCCAGAUUUUUGCUAUUUUUUCAAUUUCUGAUUUUAUUUUCUUUAUUUCCUUUUAUUUCAAAAAUUUAUAACUCUCUCAUUU
Molecule: long non-coding RNA, 246 nt
Filed under: Lathyrus oleraceus (garden pea)
Lineage: Eukaryota; Viridiplantae; Streptophyta; Magnoliopsida; Fabales; Fabaceae
Description: Pisum sativum (pea) long non-coding RNA (PSAT_LNC015938)
Source: RNAcentral